UUUAAACGUAGUCAUGAUUUUUCGUAUCCAACUUUGAUCGUCCGUCUUAUUUGAAAUGUUUUUAUGAUUAGUAUUUUUAUUGUUAUUAGAUAAUAAAACAUGAAUAAUACUUUAUGUGUGACUUAUGUUUUUAAUUUUUGUCAACUUUUUUAAAUAAAACGAACUGUUAAAAUUGUACACGAAAACUUAUGGCUGUACUUAAA
This is a microRNA precursor of Oryza sativa Japonica Group (Japanese rice), 203 nucleotides long. It matches the Rfam family "MIR812 microRNA precursor family". The record is from Rfam. Lineage: Eukaryota; Viridiplantae; Streptophyta; Magnoliopsida; Poales; Poaceae.